UUCUCCAUUGACUAAUCUGUUAAUAGUCCUAUCUUUGGGUAAGGUCAACCAUGGAGAAAAUGCUGGAAGAGGUAAGUGGUUUUGUCCUUCAGUUUUUCACCUCUGUUUUAUAAAGAGCUCUGUCAGUUAAGAAUUGGUGGCUCCCUGCUGGAACUUGAACAGACUUCUUCAGCACACCUGUGUCCCCUACACCGGAAAGUCCUUCAAGGUCGGGAGAUCUUCAACCCACAAUGUCCAACAUGGCCCCUGGGGCUGAGUGGCUGCUUAUUAAAUGCCUGUGAUUUGCCA
RNAcentral lists this long non-coding RNA (288 nucleotides) under Homo sapiens (human). Its description in RNAcentral is "HSALNT0087859". The record is from RNAcentral. Lineage: Eukaryota; Metazoa; Chordata; Mammalia; Primates; Hominidae.